GGUUGCCAAACUGCGUGUGCAAGUAAUGGCGUCUGAAGCCAUUCUUACUCUCCUUAAAAGAAGCCUUAAUUAUAGAGUGGCAAAGGCCUGACAAAACACUUAUUCAUCUCCUUCAAAUGGGGUUCCACAUUUCCUCUUUGGGUCAUGAAGAAUGUUUUAUUGAAGUCACCACCAUCCACCAUUUUAAGCUCAGCAGAAGUCAGUUUUGUAUUACACCUGGAGAAGCAGACUUUUCAGAAGGUGAGUCCUUUUUGUUCUUCAGUUUCUCAAGCAGUACACAUCUUUAGACAAUUUCCUUGUCACUAUUUCAUCUUUGCAUGUUGUAGUACUUGCUAUGAGCUACUUGCCAUCUCUUAACUUUAUGCAGCCCUGGUAAAAAAAAUUGUUCUGUCAGACUCUAUUCUGAGUGCUGUGGAAGCCUUUUUUCAUA
Lagopus leucura (white-tailed ptarmigan) is the source of this 430-nucleotide long non-coding RNA. RefSeq lists it as uncharacterized. The transcript is spliced from 3 exons. Lineage: Eukaryota; Metazoa; Chordata; Aves; Galliformes; Phasianidae. The record is from RefSeq and is a predicted model, not a curated record.